CGAUAACGAACGAGACCUUAACCUGCUAAAUAGCCCGCGCCGCCUUGGCGGCGCGCCGGCUUCUUAGAGGGACUAUCGGUGCAAGCCGAUGGAAGUUUGAGGCAAUAACAGGUCUGUGAUGCCCUUAGAUGUUCUGGGCCGCACGCGCGCUACACUGACAGAGCCAGCGAGUACUCCCUUGGCCGGAAGGCCUGGGUAAUCUUGUCAAACUCUGUCGUGCUGGGGAUAGAGCAUUGCAAUG
Molecule: ribosomal RNA, 241 nt
Filed under: uncultured fungus
Lineage: Eukaryota; Fungi
Description: partial small subunit ribosomal RNA
Rfam family: Eukaryotic small subunit ribosomal RNA
Source: RNAcentral